AUACAGCUGACGAGUUCGAAAUAGAACGACACGUGUGUCCUGGAU
This 45-nucleotide non-coding RNA is filed under the name Schistosoma haematobium. The record is from RNAcentral. Lineage: Eukaryota; Metazoa; Platyhelminthes; Trematoda; Strigeidida; Schistosomatidae.